Molecule: RNA transcript, 1297 nt
Organism: Rhinopithecus roxellana (golden snub-nosed monkey)
Lineage: Eukaryota; Metazoa; Chordata; Mammalia; Primates; Cercopithecidae
Gene name: deoxynucleotidyltransferase terminal-interacting protein 2-like
Exons: 4
Source: RefSeq, a predicted model, not a curated record
AUGUGCGUGUCCCUCAAGUCUCAGGAUCAGUACAUGCCAAGCCUGGGACGCCGGCCAGGACCAGAGUCGGGGAAGUGGGGCCCGAUUCACACACCCCGGCCUAAAACUCUCUCGGACCCGAAACCGGGCGAACCCGCCCAGUCAUCUGAAGCUCCACAAACGCCCGAGGGGGUCUCGCCCCCGCAGUGCCGGCCGCACACCCAGGCCCAGCUCCAAGGGACGCCGCGGCCCAGACCCGGGGAGCGCACAUCAUCCACGGCCGACCCUGCCCGCUUGGGCCGCGGAUCGGGGGGCGACGGCCCCACCACGCUCAGUCCCGCGCCCCGGGAGGACCCGGCCCGACGGGCGACGGCCGCUCACCUGAGGACCCGACUGCGGCCGGGGCGGGGAGCCCGAAGGGAAAAUUUUAGUGUGGACCUCAGAGAACAGAAAGCCCAAAUGCUCUCAUUUGUCAUCACUGAUUUUAAAUGUAAAACUUUUUACUUGGAAGAGGAAGACAAGGCAAGUGAGGUUGCCAUUGAGGAAGAAAAAGAAGAAGAGGAUGAAAAAAAGAAGAUUCAUCAGACCACGACGAAAAUGAAGAUGAGUUUAGUGGUGAAGAAAACCUACUAAAUAGCACAAAGGCUAAACUUCUAAAGUUGACAAGCAGCAGCAUAGACCCUGGUCUGAGUAUGAAGCAGUUGGGUGGUUUGUAUGUUCAUUUCAAUGCAGAUAAACUACAGUCUAACAAGAAAACCCUAACACAGAUCAAGGAGAAAAAGAAAAAUGAGCUUCUGCAGAAAGCUGUCAUUACAUCUGAUUUUGAAAAACACUACUGUGUUCCACCAUAUAGUGAAUCAAAGUAUCAACUUCAGAAAAAACGUAGAAAAGAAGGACAAAAAACAGCAGGGGAUGGCUGGUUUGGUAUGAAAGCUCCAGAAAUGGCAAAUGAACUGAAAAAUGAUCUCAAAGCACUGAAGAUGAGAGCCAGCAUGGACCCGAAAAGAUUUUACAAGAAAAAUGAUAGAGAUGGCUUCCCCAAGUACUUCCAAAUUGGAACCCUUGUUGACAAUCCAGCUGAUUUCUACCAUUCACGAAAUUCCCAAGAAGCAAAGGAAAAGAACUAUUACGGAAGAACUGCUGGAUGAUUCUGAGUUCAGAAGAUACAACCGAAGGAAGUACUCAGAGAUCAUGGCUGAAAAAGCAUCAAAUGCAGCAGGAAAAAAGUUCCGAAAGAAGAAGAAAUUUCGCAAUUAAGAUUUACCAAGCAAACUGCAACAUUUUACAUCACCCCUUUAUUUACUUAUUAAAGACGUUU